This 549-nucleotide long non-coding RNA is filed under the name Homo sapiens (human). RNAcentral describes it as "non-protein coding lnc-MEGF9-2:1". Lineage: Eukaryota; Metazoa; Chordata; Mammalia; Primates; Hominidae. The record is from RNAcentral.
AUGUGGUACCAGGCUUUCGCUCAGCGUGUGAAACAGAAGCCCUACAGUCUGGAGAUUUAUACUGCAUGUUAAGGCUUGCUUGUCUAAAAUCUUUUUCAAGACUGCACGUAACAGCCUUCAUAUCCCCCGUGUAGGGUCCACACCCAGCACCACUGAGCAAGUUUGUGAGCAGUGUGAGCACGGCCAAGCUGACCCUGGAAGAGGCCUACAGGCGGCUGAAGCUUCUCUGGAGAGUCUCACUCCCCGAGGAUGGCCAGUGCCCCCUUCACUGUGAGCAGAUUGGAGAAAUGAAGGCAGAGGUCACCAAACUACAUAAAAAAUUGUUUGAACAAGAAAAGAAGUUGCAAAACACCAUGAAGCUUUUGCAGCUGAGCAAGCGCCAGGAAAAAGUCAUCUUUGAUCAAUUGGUCGUAACCCACAAAAUCCUUCGGAAGGCCAGAGGAAACCUGGAGCUUAGGCCUGGGGGAGCCCAUCCAGGAACAUGCAGUCCCAGCAGACCAGGCUCCUGAGAAGAACUUUCAGCCAAUAAAGCUUGUGCUUCCCCCACCG